GGCUCGGCCGAUCGCUGCCCUGGACCCCUCAAUGGACGUUAAACUAGUACAGUACAUCCACAAAAACUGAAGACUGCCUCAAAGAAUGAGAGGUAGUAAAAACAUUAGAAGAGCAAACACGAGGAAAUCUGCAGAUGCUGGAAAUUCAAACAACAACACACACCAAAUGCUGGUGGAACACAGCCGGCCAGGCAGCAUCUAUAGGGAGAAGCACUGUCGACGUUUCGGGCCGAGACGCUUCGUCAGGACUAACUGAAAGGAAAGAUAGUAAGAGACCAAGGGACUGUCUGGUAAGUUGAUCAAAAAGAUUACAAUCCACAGUGAUUCGGUAGUUUGGAUUCAGAAUUGGCUUGUGCCUAGAAGACGGGGCAAAGCUGGAAGGACGUUGUACUGACUAGAGGCCUACUUCGGAUCUCUGUUAUUUUUCGGAUCUUUGACAUUCUUCCGGGGGCCAAGAAUGGAGGAAGAAGCUGGAGGUCCAUGAGCCAGUACUCAUUAGGGGAGCAGAAAUGGAGAGGGUAAGUAACUUCAAAUUCCUUGGUAUUACCAUACCUGAGGAUCUGUUCUAGGACAGAAGUUCAUAUCAACAUUUCGAAUGUUGAAAGGCAUGGACAGAGUGGAUGUAGCAAAGUUGUUUCCCAUGGUGGGGGAGUCUAGUACGAGAGGGCAUGAAUUAAGGAUUGAAGGGCGCCCAUUCAGACCAGAGAUGCGAAGAAAUUUUUUUAGCCAGAGGGUGAUGAAUCUGUGGAAUUUGUUGCCACGGGUGGCAGUGGAGGCCGUCAUUGGGUGUACUUAAGGCAAAGAUUGUUAGGUAUCUGAGUAGCCAGGGCAUCAACGGUUAUGGUGAGAAGGCAGGGGAGUAGGACUAAAUGAGGGAAUGGAUCAGCUCAUGAGAAAAUGGUGGAGCAGAUUUGUUGGGCCGAAUGGCCAACUUCUGCUCCUUUGUCUUAUGGUCUAAUGGUUCCAUCAUGAAGAAGUCACAACAGUGCCUUUACUUUCAUAGAUACUUAAAUAAAUUUGGCAUUUUACAAACAAUUUGAUAAAUUUGUCACAAUGCACAGUGGAGAGUACCCUAGUUGAUUGUAUCACUGCCUGAUAUGGAAUCACCAAUGCCCGGAAAUGGUAGAGUUCACAGAAAGUGAUGGAUGCAGUCCAGUCUAUCACAGGCAAAGCCCUCAUCACCAUUGAAUACAUUUACAUGGAGCUCUGUAGCAAGAAAGCAGCAUGCAUUAUCAAGGACUUCCACCAUCCAGGCAAGUCUUUUCUUGAUUCAGGAACUUAUUUAACUAUUAUAUAUAUAUAAACAUUGUAAUUCCCAGUUUUUUAUUACUAUACAUAGCAUUGUACUGCUGCAGCAAAAAACAACAAAAUAUAUGGUAUAUGCUGAUUCUGAUACUACCAUCAGUCAGGAGGUAUGAGAGCCUUGGGUCCCAUACCACCAGGUUCAAGGACAGUUAUUACCCUAUGCCUGGGUUUUGAACCAGCAUGGGUGGAUAACUUCACUCACCAGAACUCUGAAUUGAUUCUACAAAUUACAGGCUCACUUUUGAGGACUCUACAACUCAUGUUCUAAGUAUUUUUUUCAUUUUCACAAAUUGUCUUUUGCACAUUGCUUUUUUGUCAGUCUUUAUUUAUGGAUAGGAUUUCAUAAUUUGUAUUGUAUUACUUUAUUCUUCUGUAAAUGCCUGCAAGAAAAUGAAUCUCAAGAUAACUUAAGCAAUAACCACAAAAUGCUGAAGGAACUCAGCAGGCCAGGCAACAUCUAUGGAAAAAAAAGUACAGUUGACGCUUUGGGCUGAGACCCAUCGUCAGGACUUUUGACACUGAGGAACUGGAGUACCUAAUCCUAUAUCUCUUCCUAAUCUUCAACACCUUUGGUGAACAGCUGCAGCCCAAGUUAUGCUCUACAUCUUCACCACUCACCUCAACCAUUAUUGGACAGGACUAUUUCUCAAUAUCCAAUUUCCCAGUACAUCAUCACAAGCUUACAUCAUUGAGCUCUCAUCCAGAGAAGGU
Hypanus sabinus (Atlantic stingray) is the source of this 2016-nucleotide long non-coding RNA. RefSeq lists it as uncharacterized. NCBI's taxonomy places the organism in Eukaryota, Metazoa, Chordata, Chondrichthyes, Myliobatiformes, Dasyatidae. The record is from RefSeq and is a predicted model, not a curated record. The transcript is spliced from 4 exons.